RNAcentral lists this ribosomal RNA (253 nucleotides) under uncultured bacterium. Its description in RNAcentral is "partial 16S ribosomal RNA". It matches the Rfam family "Bacterial small subunit ribosomal RNA", at positions 524 to 776 of the family's 1533-position model. The record is from RNAcentral.
UACGUAGGGUGCGAGCGUUAAUCGGAAUUACUGGGCGUAAAGCGUGCGCAGGCGGUUCGUUGUGUCGGCGGUGAAAGCCCCGGGCUUAACCUGGGAAUGGCCGUCGAAACUGGCGAACUGGAGUGUGGCAGAGGGGGGUGGAAUUCCGCGUGUAGCGGUGAAAUGCGUAGAUAUCGGGAGGAACACCUGUGGCGAAAGCGGCUCACUGGACCACAACUGACGCUGAGGCGCGAAAGCUAGGGGAGCAAACAGG